GGAAAAAAAAGAUAAAUAGAUGGCAUGCAUUCGUCCAACUUUAUUAGUAGUACACAGACCUUUAAAUUUGAGUAAAGUCCCAAAAUUAAGCCAAAAAAAAAAAUUAUAUAUAUCAUAUAAUAACUACUAAGGUACCCAAAUACAAGUUCCAAAAUUUCAUUUAUUCUUUCUACAAAUUACUUAUGUUCUGAAUAGAUGAAUGAGGCAUCACCAUUUAUAUACAGGAUUCCUCUCUUCUAGUUAGGUGUUUACCUCUCAACACACAUGAACUGAUGCGAUUAAAAACCAUCACCAGUAGGGAAAAUCUAUCUUCUCUUAAAACUCAUAUAGCCAUCCACCAACUUAACAAAUAACACAAGCAUUUGGAUUUUCCUCCAUGCUUUGAACAUAGUAAUACGUGGUCAGCUGAGGAUUGUAAGCUUUGUAGGCCUUGACCAGCUCUAAAACUGGGUCAGGUGGAGGAACAGUUGCUGGUGCUGGAGCCGGAGCUGGGUCUUUCUUUUUCUCUUCUUCCUUUUUCCCUUCCUCUUUCUUGGGUUCCUCUUUCUUUUCUUCUUCCUUCUUGGGUUCCUCUUUCUUAGCUUCCUCCUCUUUCUUGGGUUCCUCUUUCUUUUCUUCUUCCUUCUUGGGUUCCUCUUUCUUAGCUUCCUCUUCUUUCUUGGGCUCCUCCUUCUUAGCCUCCUCUUCUUUCUUGGGUUCCUCCUUCUUAGGCUCUUCUUUCUUCUCAGGCUCCUUGGCUGGCCC
RNAcentral lists this unclassified non-coding RNA (744 nucleotides) under Hevea brasiliensis (rubber tree). Lineage: Eukaryota; Viridiplantae; Streptophyta; Magnoliopsida; Malpighiales; Euphorbiaceae. The record is from RNAcentral.